This 94-nucleotide transfer RNA is filed under the name Ilumatobacteraceae bacterium. RNAcentral describes it as "tRNA-Ser". It matches the Rfam family "tRNA". From Rfam's summary of the family: Transfer RNA (tRNA) molecules are approximately 80 nucleotides in length. Their secondary structure includes four short double-helical elements and three loops (D, anti-codon, and T loops). Further hydrogen bonds mediate the characteristic L-shaped molecular structure. tRNAs have two regions of fundamental functional importance: the anti-codon, which is responsible for specific mRNA codon recognition, and the 3' end, to which the tRNAs corresponding amino acid is attached (by aminoacyl-tRNA synthetases). tRNAs cope with the degeneracy of the genetic code in two manners: having more than one tRNA (with a specific anti-codon) for a particular amino acid; and 'wobble' base-pairing, i.e. permitting non-standard base-pairing at the 3rd anti-codon position. RNAcentral also lists the same sequence under 1 other name. The record is from RNAcentral. Lineage: Bacteria; Bacillati; Actinomycetota; Acidimicrobiia; Acidimicrobiales; Ilumatobacteraceae.
GGAGAGGUGCCGGAGCCAGGUUGAACGGGACGUCCUGCUAAGACGUUGACCGCCGAAAUGCGGUCCGUGGGUUCAAAUCCCACCCUCUCCGCCA